GUGCCAGCAGCUGCGGUAAUACGUAGGGUGCAAGCGUUGUCCGGAAUUAUUGGGCGUAAAGAGCUCGUAGGCGGCCUGUCGCGUCGGAUGUGAAAGCCCGGGGCUUAACCCCGGGUCUGCAUUCGAUACGGGCAGGCUGGAGUUCGGCAGGGGAGAUCGGAAUUCCUGGUGUAGCGGUGAGAUGCGCAGAUAUCAGGAGGAACACCGGUGG
RNAcentral lists this ribosomal RNA (211 nucleotides) under uncultured Streptomyces sp. RNAcentral's name for it is "partial 16S ribosomal RNA". It matches the Rfam family "Bacterial small subunit ribosomal RNA", at positions 505 to 715 of the family's 1533-position model. Lineage: Bacteria; Bacillati; Actinomycetota; Actinomycetes; Kitasatosporales; Streptomycetaceae. The record is from RNAcentral.